Molecule: ribosomal RNA, 496 nt
Filed under: uncultured bacterium
Lineage: Bacteria
Description: partial 16S ribosomal RNA
Rfam family: Bacterial small subunit ribosomal RNA
Source: RNAcentral
GACGAACGCUGGCGGCGUGCCUAAUACAUGCAAGUUGAGCGAUGAAGAUUGGUGCUUGCACCAAUUUGAAGAGCAGCGAACGGGUGAGUAACGCGUGGGGAAUCUGCCUUUGAGCGGGGGACAACAUUUGGAAACGAAUGCUAAUACCGCAUAAUAACUUUAAACAUAAGUUUUAAGUUUGAAAGAUGCAAUUACAUCACUCAAAGAUGAUCCCGCGUUGUAUUAGCUAGUUGGUGAGGUAAAGGCUCACCAAGGCGAUGAUACAUAGCCGACCUGAGAGGGUGAUCGGCCACAUUGGGACUGAGACACGGCCCAAACUCCUACGGGAGGCAGCAGUAGGGAAUCUUCGGCAAUGGACGAAAGUCUGACCGAGCAACGCCGCGUGAGUGAAGAAGGUUUUCGGAUCGUAAAACUCUGUUGGUAGAGAAGAACGUUGGUGAGAGUGGAAAGCUCAUCAAGUGACGGUAACUACCCAGAAAGGGACGGCUAACUACGU